AAAAAGAUAAGCUAAUUAAGCUAUUAGGUUCAUACCCUAAUUAUAGAAGUUAUAAAUCUUCUUCUUUUUA
Molecule: transfer RNA, 70 nt
Filed under: Panorpa dispergens
Lineage: Eukaryota; Metazoa; Arthropoda; Insecta; Mecoptera; Panorpidae
Also listed under: 1 other name
Description: tRNA-Met
Source: RNAcentral